This 589-nucleotide long non-coding RNA is filed under the name Daucus carota (carrot). RNAcentral's name for it is "long non-coding RNA (DCAR_LNC004093)". Lineage: Eukaryota; Viridiplantae; Streptophyta; Magnoliopsida; Apiales; Apiaceae. The record is from RNAcentral.
GUCCAACAAAUAAGUGAAAAAAUAAAAUAAAAAAUUUAUUUAUUUUAUUUCUAACCAACUAGAGUUUGAGUUUAAAGAGUUGACUUCGAAUCGAAACUUUAAUAAAACUCUAUUAGAGUUUCUUGACAAACGAGUUUUGUUGUUCAAACUCGAUAAAGAACCGAGUCGAAUUGAGUUCAUGUUACGUAUGUUUACGGUCUUAAUAUCAUUCUUUAUUUUCUUACAACUAUCAACUAAAAAAAAUCUACAAUCCUCAAACAUAAAGAUAAUUGAAGAAAUCAUUUUGAUACUGGUCAAAAGUCAGGGAUAAGAAAAUAUGAUCACCUUUCUGACAUAAAGAAUACAAGAACUGUUCAUGGCAGCACAACUUUCUUAUAAAUUAGAUGUGAAUAUUAAAGAAAACGUAAUGGUAGGUAAUCCUAUCAUUCAUCGAUAUAAGAAAUAUCUUUUUUAAAAAAUCAAAUGGACAUCAUAUAAAAAGUAGUGUAAAAAGGAGUAUGAAUAUGAAAUCUGAAUCUUCAUGUUCAAAUGGCACUAGUGUUUAUAGACAUGCCACUUAUUUAAUUUUAAAAUUGUCCCUCAACUUGAA